RNAcentral lists this ribosomal RNA (337 nucleotides) under uncultured bacterium. RNAcentral's name for it is "bacterial SSU rRNA". It matches the Rfam family "Bacterial small subunit ribosomal RNA", at positions 969 to 1319 of the family's 1533-position model. The record is from RNAcentral.
CCUUACCAGGGCUUGACAUGUGGCGGAAACCGGCGGAAACGUGGUCCUCCCGCAAGGGGCCGUCAUGCAGGUGUUGCAUGGCUGUCGUCAGCUCGUGUCGUGAGAUGUUGGGUUAAGUCCCCCAACGAGCGCAACCCCCGUGGCAUGUUGUAUCUUUCAUGCCAGACUGCCGAGAGAAACUCGGAGGAAGGUGGGGAUGACGCCAAGUCAGCAUGGCCCUUACGUCCUGGGCUACACACACGUUACAAUGGCCGGUACAACGGGUUGCCAAACCGGGAGGUGGAGGUAAUCCCAAAAACCCGUUUUCAGUUCGGAUGGCAGGCUGCAAUUCGCCUGC